UACGAACUGUGCAAACGUUACUCGGAUUGACUGGGCGUAAAGGGCGCGUAGGCGGUUCGUACAGUCAGACGUGAAAUCCCUCGGCUCAACCGGGGAACUGCGUCCGAUACUGGUUGGCUUGAAUCCGGAAGAGGCGAGUGGAAUUCCCGGUGUAGCGGUGAAAUGCGCAGAUAUCGGGAGGAACACCAAUGGCGAAGGCAGCUCGCUGGGACGGUACUGACGCUGAGGCGCGAAAGCGUGGGGAGCAAACAGG
This 253-nucleotide ribosomal RNA is filed under the name uncultured bacterium. Its description in RNAcentral is "partial 16S ribosomal RNA". It matches the Rfam family "Bacterial small subunit ribosomal RNA", at positions 524 to 776 of the family's 1533-position model. The record is from RNAcentral.